Molecule: ribosomal RNA, 412 nt
Filed under: uncultured Oceanospirillaceae bacterium
Lineage: Bacteria; Pseudomonadati; Pseudomonadota; Gammaproteobacteria; Oceanospirillales; Oceanospirillaceae
Description: bacterial SSU rRNA
Rfam family: Bacterial small subunit ribosomal RNA
Source: RNAcentral
AGUCGAGCGGUAACAGGAAUUAGCUUGCUAAUUUGCUGACGAGCGGCGGACGGGUGAGUAACGCGUAGGAAUCUGCCUGGUAGUGGGGGACAACAUGUGGAAACGCAUGCUAAUACCGCAUACGCCCUACGGGGGAAAGGAGGGGAUCUUCGGACCUUUCGCUAUCAGAUGAGCCUGCGUGAGAUUAGCUAGUUGGUGGGGUAAAGGCUCACCAAGGCGACGAUCUCUAGCUGGUCUGAGAGGAUGAUCAGCCACACUGGGACUGAGACACGGCCCAGACUCCUACGGGAGGCAGCAGUGGGGAAUAUUGGACAAUGGGCGCAAGCCUGAUCCAGCCAUGCCGCGUGUGUGAAGAAGGCCUUCGGGUUGUAAAGCGCUUUCAGAGGUGAGGAAGGGUGUGUAGUUAAUACCU